GAAAGUGGUGCUCCUGAAUUCCUUUGCUGUACCAUGGCUGAUCUACCAGCUGGAUCACUGCAAUUUCUGGGGUACCAAGCUGGCCGUCAUGGAUCGGAUGAUUAAACAAGCUGUGAAGGCCUGGUUGCACCUUCCUGCCUCGAUCGAUUACGGCAUCCUGUAUUCGCGCAACCGAGACAGAGGACUGGGCACAGCAAAGCUGGAGAGCCUAAUCCAUUCUAUCUGAGCUCGUAGGGUCUACCGCCUUGCCAACUCUGCGGAUGAGGUGACAAGGGCCAUGGUACGAUCCCUUGGGGAAGCCAGAGAAUUUCAGAGGCUGUGGGCCAGUGCCAGGGGAACUGAGGAGAACUGGCCUGUCCUGCUCGAUGAAGAUGUUUCCCCAGAGGAAAGAGUUAGGUGUCCGGUCCCGUGUGACUGGAGGUGCGUGGAAGCAGUCAAGUCAGGUUCACUCCCCCUGCAAGGGCUGGGGCUAACUGGUUUCUGGAAUGAUGUUGUGAGCAACACAUAGCUUUCCAAUCCCAUUGGGUUCAGGGAGCGUCACUUCAUUGCAGCGUUUUAGGUCAGGGCCAAUGUGUACCCAACCCUAGAAGUUCAGGAGACUUAGAGAAGGUCAGCGUCGCUGCAGGGGUUACCACCAUACCUUUGAAACAUGUGCGCAUGUCUUUGGGCAAUGUUCGGCUGUCCAGGGAGCGAGAUUGUCCGCCACCAAUUGCCUCGCCUUCAAGGCUGAGCAAUGUGGCUGGACUACUUACAGGGAACUCACCCUCACCUUGGGGAGUGAGGUGAGGAGACCGGACCAUGUUUUCAUAAAACCGUCUACUGCUCUGGUUGUGGAUGUGAUGAUCGGAUUUGAAUCUACCCCCGACGCCCUUUUGGUUGCGAGGAACGUGAAAAUCCGUCACUAUAGCCAGCUAAGCUCUGAGAUCUCUGAGUUAAUGGGAGCAGUUCUGGUCUACUUCUUUGGCUUUGUAGUGGGGGCACGAGGGAAGUGCCCUGAGUUCAACAAAGAGAUCCUGUCCUGACUGGGACUGGCAAAGCACAGGGCCAAAGCCUUUGCCAAACUGGUUAGUCGCAGAACCCUACGAUAUUCUUUGGAUAUCCUUAGAAUGUUCUCUGACUGUGGUAAACUGCCUGACGCCAGGUCGGAACCAGAAACCCAGAAUCAGAGCUGAUACUACCUGUACUCUGGCUAGGCAUCCCCCAGAAAAGGUGGUUGCUGAAACCUGCUUUUGCGCUUUUGAGGGGCUCGAGUGCAUCAGUUCCCAAGACCCCUCAUGUGUCUUGGUUAUCGGUUUGUGCUAGGGGUGCUUUUUGUGAGUCAGGUACUCCCAGUGCUAAGCCCCACACUGCUGGUCGCUUGCCCAAACGACCAGUGAGUAUUCAGGGUGGCAGCGUGGCUGGCCCUCUGCGUUAACAAAAGGGCCUAUAGGCAUGCCUCUGGGAGUCUGGUGCAUCUAUUAAGAAGGCUCCUUCUCCUGAUUGACCUGCCCAGUAGCCGGGUAGUAUGUUCGGCAUAUUGGACAUGACAUAACAACUUGUGUUUGUCGGCCGUGGCUUGCUAGGUUCCUAUCCAUGCCGCCUUGCCCAGGUUUGGAACUGAAAAUGAUGGGAGGGCAACUGAGGUGCUGUGCACCAACUCAGAUGUGACGUUAUCCUUGGACCGAUUUCCCCACAUAGACAUGCUGUGGUCUACUAGGUUCCUUCCUCUUAUCACGCCUACCCAAGGAGGAGAAGCGACAGUGACGAGUGGGCUAGUUGGACGUGGUGAAUUUCGUGAUGAUUAACCGCUAGCCAUCUGUCCGGCGAACAUUGACUAACAUGGUUUGCCGCAUGCAAUUGUCACCAGAUGACGUUGAAGAUGGGUUCUGAAACCCGGAAAGGACCUACGGGGAAAGUGUAGCCAAAUGCCUCGUCAUCUAAUUAGUGACGCGCAUGAAUGGAUGAACGAGAUUCCCACUGUCCCUACCUACUAUCUAGCGAAACCCCACCCAAGGGAACGGGCUUAGCAAAAUCAGCGGGGAAAGAAGACCCUGCUGAGCUUGACUCUAGUCUGGCACUGUGAAGAGACAUGAGAGGUGUAGAAUAAGCGGGAGGCUUCGGCCACUGGCGAAAUAUCACUACUCAUCGUUUUUUCACUUACCCCGGUGAGGCGAGGAGGCGAGCCCCAGGGAAGGCUCUCGCUUCUGGAGUCAAUUGCCCGGCACGUGUCGGGUGAGAUCCACUAUGGGGAGAGUGGCAGGUGGGGAGUUUGACUGGGGCGGUACACCUGUUAAAAGGUAAUGUGAGCUCAGGGAGGAUAGAAACCUCCGAUGGAGCAGAAGGGCAAAAGCUCGCUUGAUCUUGAUUUUCAGUAUGAGUACAGACUGUGAAAGCAGGGCCUCACAAUCCUUCUGGCUUUUUGGGUUUCAAGUAGGAAGUGUCAGAAAAGUAACUACAGGGAUAACUGGCUUGUGGCGGCCAAGCGUUCAUAGCGACGUUGCCGUUUGAUCCUUCGAUGUCGGCUCUUCCUAUAAUUGUGAAGCAGAAUUCACUAAGCGUUGGAUUAUUCACCCGCUAAUAGGGAACGUGAGCUGGGUUUAGACCAUUGUGAGACAGGUUAGUUUUAACCUACUGAAGAUGUGUUGUUGCAAUAAUAAUCCUGCUCAGUGCGAGAGGAACCGCAGGUUCAGACAUUUGGUGUAUGUGCUUGGCUGAGGAGCCAAUGGUGCGACGCUACCAUCUGUUGGAUUAUGACUGAAUGCCUCUAAGUCAGAAUCCCAUCUAGAUGCAGCGAUACUGAAGCACCGGAGCUCAUAGGUUGUACAAAGACACCCGGGCACAAGCCCGGCGUUGGAGCGCCUCUCGUGACCGGACCGGAGUGCGGACAGAUGAGCGCCGCCUCUCUCCCGAUGACGUACCUGAUGUUCGUGUGGAACUACUCGGUGCUAAAACCUUCGCAGACGACCUGAUUCUGGGUCGGGGUCUCGUAUGUAGCAGAGCAGCUGCCUCUCUGCAAUCUAUUGAGAAUCAGCCCCAGAUCUAAGUUUUGUCGGGCGGCGUCGCC
RNAcentral lists this ribosomal RNA (3043 nucleotides) under Arapaima gigas (arapaima). RNAcentral's name for it is "eukaryotic LSU rRNA". The stretch from base 1592 to 3027 matches the Rfam family "Eukaryotic large subunit ribosomal RNA", at positions 1891 to 3399 of the family's 3401-position model. Lineage: Eukaryota; Metazoa; Chordata; Actinopteri; Osteoglossiformes; Osteoglossidae. The record is from RNAcentral.